This 502-nucleotide ribosomal RNA is filed under the name uncultured bacterium. RNAcentral's name for it is "partial 16S ribosomal RNA". It matches the Rfam family "Bacterial small subunit ribosomal RNA", at positions 30 to 523 of the family's 1533-position model. The record is from RNAcentral.
AUUGAACGCUGGCGGCAGGCUUAACACAUGCAAGUCGAGCGGGAAUAGGUAGCUUGCUACUGAAUUCUAGCGGCGGACGGGUGAGUAAAGCUUAGGAAUCUGCCAUUUAGUGGGGGACAACAUUCCGAAAGGGAUGCUAAUACCGCAUACGUCCUACGGGAGAAAGCAGGGGAUCUUCGGACCUAGCGCUAAAUGAUGAGCCUAAGUCGGAUGAGCUAGUUGGUUGGGUAAAGGCCUACCAAGGCGACGAUAUGUAGCGGGUCUGAGAGGAUGAUCCGCCACACUGGGAAUGAGUAAGGGCCCAGUAGCGUCAGGGAGGGAGCAGUGGUGAAUAUUGUAGAAUGGGGGAGAUCCUGAUCCAGCCAUGCCGAGUGUUUGCAGAAUGCCUUUUGGUUGUAAAGCACUUUAAGCGAUGAGUAGGCUACCUGGAUUAAUACUCUAGGAUAGUAGACGUUACUCGCAGAAUAAGCACCGUCUAACUCUGUGCCAGCCGCCGCGGUAA